GUGAAAUUGUUGAAAGGGAAACGCUUGAAGUCAGUCACGUUGGCUAGAAAUCAGCCCUGCUCUUGCUCGGUGUACUUUCUGGUUGAUGGGUCAGCAUCAAUUUCGACCGUUGGAUAAAGUCUCUGGGAAUGUGGCAUCUUCGGAUGUGUUAUAGCCCAGGGUCGCAUGCAGUGGUUGGGAUUGAGGAACUCAGCACGCCGCAAGGCCGGGUUUCGACCACGUUCGUGCUUAGGAUGCUGGCAUAAUGGCUUUAAUCGACCCGUCUUGAAACACGGACCAAGGAGUCUAACAUGCCUGCGAGUGUUUGGGUGGAAAAACCCAUGCGCGGAAUGAAAGUGAAAGUUGAGAUCCCCCUCGAAAGGGAGCAUUGACGCCCGGACCAGAGCUUUUGUGACGGAUCCGCGGUAGAGCAUGUAUGUUGGGACCCGAAAGAUGGUGAACUAUGCCUGUAUAGGGUGAAGCCGGAGGAAACUCUGGUGGAGGCUCGUAGCGAUUCUGACGUGCAAAUCGAUCGUCAAAUUUGGGUAUAGGGGCGAAAGACUAAUCGAACCAUCUAAUAGCUGGUUCCUGCCGAAGUUUCCCUCAGGAUAGCAAA
Molecule: ribosomal RNA, 595 nt
Filed under: uncultured Basidiomycota
Lineage: Eukaryota; Fungi; Basidiomycota
Description: LSU rRNA
Rfam family: Eukaryotic large subunit ribosomal RNA
Source: RNAcentral